AUUGUUUAAAAAUGUAUGACAUCACUUCCUGUUAAAAGUAAACACGCGCUCGUGCUGCAGAACUGUAUAUUACUGGGAAAAGAGGUCUGUCCCAGUGAGCAGUCAUUAAAGAACGGUGUGUGUCUGGGCUUUGAGGAUUGAGCAGGAGCUGCAUGUGAUUCUGGAUGAUGGGAAAUCUUUAGGUAUCAGUAACAGUUUAUCCGCGUGCAGUGUCAGUGCCUAUGAGGCUGUGCAUCACUCUCUUCAGCUGUGUGUGGUAUCCAAAUGUUUUGCUGUUUUCUGACAAACAGCAGGACGGCCUCCCCUGCGCCAUCAUAUCAGCUGCCUCCUUAGAUUGCCUAUUCAUGUUGUCUAUAGGGUGAACAGAUGGACCAUCAAUUUAAUUCUAUCCUCGCCACCAUCAGAGAUUGAUUUUGUACUUGCUUUUAAAUUUGCCAUAAUUAAUUAGAUCAUUACAAGUGUUUUUCAUUGAUCUUCCCAUUUACACCCAAAAUGGAAAGGUAAAUUAGCAUGUGAUCUAUGUUUUCAAUUAACUGACUGAUAUAACACAAUAUUAAUUACCAUAUUGAAUGCCACUAAUAUUAUGAGUAAAAUUCGAAUAAUAAUAAUAAUAAUGAUACUACUACUACUACUGAUAAUAAUAAUAAUAAUAAUAAUAAUAGUAAUAAUAAUAAUAAUUAUUAUUAUUAUUAUUAUUAUUAUGUUUUAUUGCUGUUGUUGCCAUUAUUAUUAUUAUUAUUAUUAUUAUUAUUAUCAGUCAGGCCACAUGUCCUGGUGCUAAUCUAAUUCGCUGAAUGUACAAUGCUUCGGAUUUACAGUGGCUUAUGGAAAGGUAAAUCCACAGAAACUUCACAUAGACGCCAUGAAAAGACUCACUAUAACAUCUUAAAAGUAGUUGUACUGGCCAACUGAACGAGGCUCGCCUAGCACAAAUAGCCUGAACACUCAGGAGAGAGCAUUUAGGAAAGGAGAGAAAGAAACGCGGCACUUACCUGAUCGAGCAGGUCUCUGAGCCAUGCCCUUCCUCUGUCUAAUGGUCCGUACGGGCGGUGCAGCCCACUGGCUGUGUCCGGGCCUGUGCGCUCUCUCCCCGGCUGGGCGCGCUGCCUCUCCCCGCUGCCUGCCACACCAUCUGAGCGAUCAUCCAAAACUAAACGGUUUUAGACGGCAACAACGAAAAGAAGGACAGCGACCUCUGCUUCAGUGCACUAGGGACUGAUAAAGGAGAGAAAUAGCAAUCAAAGCAAAUAAAGCGUUUGAGGUAUGAUAUAAAAAGAAAGAAGAAAACUGGAAGUAAAGCGUGGACUAAGAGGAUAUGCUAAGAGCAGCUCGCAGGGCUUUUGCCCUUGUGGGAGACUGAAAGGUAGGACUAAUAGCAAUGAAUAUUCAUGAUUAUUUCUCCCCUAUGUAGACCUGCGGUGUUUUUUCUUUCUUUCUUUUUUUUUUGCAUUAUAUAUGUUGUAAUGUAUAUUGACAUAUUAUGAGGUGUAAUAAGUUUUGAGAAGUUGGAGUAAGAAAGUUCAAGGCGAGGUGGUGAAGUUAACAGAGCCGUGUUUCUCAUUGGCUGCACCUCGAGGUGAACCUGUGCUCAGUAGGAGGGUCCACUUAACUCUCCCACCUCAUAUAAUAGCGCUGUUAAUGAUAACCACAUCACUCCCUUAUCAACAUCACACAGCUACAAACAUGUUGUGACGGACCUUAGUUUUGAUCUGGCAAAGAAUAGGUUCAGCUUUUCUCUUACAGCUUUUACAGGCUUAUGAAAUAUGAUUUUUUUUUUUUUUUAAAAAAAAGCCUGUAUUAAAUAAUACAAUAAAUUGUUUUUAAUCACAAAGAUUUACCCAAAGUGCUGAUAUGUCCUGGAAGGGUGGUUAGGGUAUACAAUAAUUAUUAUUCUACUUAAAAAAUAAUUCUUCAAGGUGUUCCUGGGAUUGUUAAGGGCUCUUAGCUUCCUAGAAGGGUUCUACACUCUAGAGCUUUUGCCACAGAACCAUUAAGGGUUCCAUCAGAGGGUACUACACUGAAUAUAUUAUUAUUAUUAUUAUUAUUAUUAUUAUUAUUAUUAUUAUUAUUAUUAUUAUUUUAUAUCUACUGUGUGUAUGGAAUCCCAAAAUAUGUCCAGUAAGGCUUAAAUUCAUUUAACAGUUUUAAAUUAAGCCAUAGAUAUGAUCAAGGAACUAUAAUUUCUAUAGUUUUGAUGAUUUUCUAAGUUUAUUCUUUGUUGUUCUUAACUUUAGGGGAUGGUCCUACCUGCUAAAUACCACCUGAAUACCUGCUUGAUAAAGGGAAUUUUGUUCACAUGUACCAACAAGCAUUUAAUAUUGUAAAAUUUUACACUUAAUGUCAACUUGAAAAUCAACUUUAAAAUGUCAUUUAUACGCAUGCGUACUACGUGUCUUUAGUUUUGAUUUGUUUUGGUUGUUUUGCAGGAGGCUCAUAUGAGUGAAUUAGUGAAUGAUUUGAAAAAUAAACUUCUCCUUGGCCAGAAGGGGCACUGUAAUUCACCACUGAGGAUAAAGGGAUAAUUCACUUAGAAUUCCCUGAAACAUGUCGACAGCAGUUGAGGUAGUUUCAUGGCAGGUAAGCGUAUGUCUCAUUGGAUUUCCAUCAAUUGCUCAAAGGUGUGUUUGAAAACAAAGAUGCAUGGUGCACAAAUUAGCCUGAAUGGUAACAUGAUUGCAUAUUAAGAAAUCUAAUUAGUAUUCAAGAGAAUUCAAAGAGAAGAGCUGAACAAUAUUGCAUUAAUGCAUCAGACAGCGAUUUCAUAAGCAUGUUGCCCUUAUGUUCUGUUCAGCACAAAAUCACCCAUUUUUUAAAAAUUUAAAUAAAAAAAAAGUCAUUUUAGAAAAAAUAUAGUUCUCAUAUUUGAAGAUUGCUCUCCAUCCACACAAGCCAUUUCAUGUUUUUAUUUUUUUAAUUUGCUAGCACAUCUCAUAACAUGUUUUUAUAUUAGUUAUUAAUAUGAAUAUAAUUAUAUUCCAUCAAUUGCUCAAAGGUGUGUUUGAAAACAAGGAUGGAUGGUGCACAAAUUAGCCUGAAUGGUAACAUGAUUACAUAUUAAUCUUAUGAUUGAAUAUUAAUAUGAAUAUAGAGUUAAUUUAUAUUAAUAGGAAUAUAUUAAUCUGAAUAUACAAUAUAAUUGAAUAUACAGUAUGUAUAAAAUCUAUCUGUAAAAAUAUUUUCAAUGCCUGCAACAAAAUAAUGUCUUGUGUGUGUCUUGUGUGUGUUAAUGUGUGUGUUUGUAUGAGAGAGAGAGAGAGAGAGAGAGAGAGAGAGAGACUGUGGUCAACAGGUCUCCUGAGGUUCUUCUCCUGGACAAUGAUGUAUUUAAGUCCUCUUAGAGGUCAGAUGGACUUUAUCCAGCACAUCACCUGCAAUCAAUAGCGCUGGUAAACCAGGCUCAACCAAGUGGCUGUGAGAACUCCCCUUAUAAACAAACUCACAGAGAGGCCGGCACGGCCCAUUGCCCUGCUAAAACCGCAGCCAGGGUCCUUACACACACGUGCAUGUUAUGUCACUAUGAGAAAACCCAUUGAGGAAGAAAGUGUCAGAAAAUAAGAAGUAAAUUGACAGAUGUGUGAAUGUGUCUAUGAAGGCUAGUGGGUCGCUGCAGAGUGAAGAAAAGCAGAAAACACAGAAACCUACUGGAGUGCGGGACUAGUGUGUUACACUGGACAUCUGUAACUAUGUUGCCACAUUGUGUCAUGAUUGGUCUUGCUCAGGAUUCAGGAUGCUCAGGACUUACUGCACAACAGAUGCAACGUGUUAAUUAAAAAGCUAAUAAACACGUUUGACAAGAUUUGUAGCAUUAUACGCUUUUAUCUGAUCUCAGUUGUCAUGGACGGAAAAAAAUUAUAUCUUAGCAAGUGAAAAUAGCUUGAAUAUGGGCAAAUUCAUCUAAUAGUUCUUAUUAUGAGAUGAUUUUAAAAACAAAUAUAUGAUUAUCAGGGGUGGACUUAGCACUAGGCAAAGCUAGGCAACCGGCAUGGGCCCCAGAAGCCAAGGGCCCCCUAAAAAUGCAAAUUAUAUAUAUUUUUAAUUAUUAAUGCUAAAUAAUGUAUGCUGAAAAUUUAAAUAUUGAUGUGUGCAAUUGAAUAGGACCCCUUUCCUAUAUUUUUCCUAGGGCCCCCAAAUCACUAAAUCCACCCCGAUGAUUAUUAAACCUAUAUCCAAACAUAUUGUACUAACUGCAAACUUGAAAUAGUCUUAUUCAUUUGGCAGAUAAUUUUUCUAAUUUUAAGCAUUUUUUUUCUAGAAAGAUGCAAAAUUAUCUGCCAAUAGAAUAAGAACAUUUAAAACUUGCAAUGAGUGAAAGCAUCUAAAAACAGGCUGAAUAAUCAUAUCUUUGAUUUAUAAUA
This is a long non-coding RNA of Pangasianodon hypophthalmus (striped catfish), 4355 nucleotides long. RefSeq lists it as uncharacterized. The transcript is spliced from 4 exons. The record is from RefSeq and is a predicted model, not a curated record. Lineage: Eukaryota; Metazoa; Chordata; Actinopteri; Siluriformes; Pangasiidae.